UGCCAGCCGCCGCGGUAAUACGGGGGGGGCAAGCGUUGUUCGGAAUUACUGGGCGUAAAGGGCGCGUAGGCGGGCAGGACAGUCUCUCGUGAAAUCCCACGGCUCAACCGUGGAAUUGCGGGAGAUACUACUUGUCUUGAGUUCGGGAGAGGAGUGUGGAAUUCCCAGUGUAGCGGUGAAAUGCGUAGAUAUUGGGAGGAACACCGGUGGCGAAGGCGGCACUCUGGACCGAUACUGACGCUGAGGCGCGAAAGCUAGGGGAGCAAACGGGAUUAGAUA
Molecule: ribosomal RNA, 279 nt
Filed under: uncultured bacterium
Lineage: Bacteria
Description: partial 16S ribosomal RNA
Rfam family: Bacterial small subunit ribosomal RNA
Source: RNAcentral